Molecule: ribosomal RNA, 718 nt
Filed under: Bacillus subtilis
Lineage: Bacteria; Bacillati; Bacillota; Bacilli; Caryophanales; Bacillaceae
Description: bacterial SSU rRNA
Rfam family: Bacterial small subunit ribosomal RNA
Source: RNAcentral
ACGGGUGAGUAACACGUGGGUAACCUGCCUGUAAGACUGGGAUAACUCCGGGAAACCGGGGCUAAUACCGGAUGCUUGUUUGAACCGCAUGGUUCAAACAUAAAAGGUGGCUUCUGCUACCACUUACAGAUGGACCCGCGGCGCAUUAGCUAGUUGGUGAGGUAAUGGCUCACCAAGGCAACGAUGCGUAGCCGACCUGAGAGGGUGAUCGGCCACACUGGGACUGAGACACGGCCCAGACUCCUACGGGAGGCAGCAGUAGGGAAUCUUCCGCAAUGGACGAAAGUCUGACGGAGCAACGCCGCGUGAGUGAUGAAGGUUUUCGGAUCGUAAAGCUCUGUUGUUAGGGAAGAACAAGUACCGUUCGAAUAGGGCGGUACCUUGACGGUACCUAACCAGAAAGCCACGGCUAACUACGUGCCAGCAGCCGCGGUAAUACGUAGGUGGCAAGCGUUGUCCGGAAUUAUUGGGCGUAAAGGGCUCGCAGGCGGUUUCUUAAGUCUGAUGUGAAAGCCCCCGGCUCAACCGGGGAGGGUCAUUGGAAACUGGGGAACUUGAGUGCAGAAGAGGAGAGUGGAAUUCCACGUGUAGCGGUGAAAUGCGUAGAGAUGUGGAGGAACACCAGUGGCGAAGGCGACUCUCUGGUCUGUAACUGACGCUGAGAGCGAAAGCGUGGGGAGCGAACAGGAUUAGAUACCCUGGUAGUCCACGCCGUAAA